This 328-nucleotide ribosomal RNA is filed under the name uncultured eukaryote. RNAcentral describes it as "partial 18S ribosomal RNA". It matches the Rfam family "Eukaryotic small subunit ribosomal RNA", at positions 1470 to 1796 of the family's 1831-position model. The record is from RNAcentral.
CCCUUAGAUGUCCUGGGCCGCACGCGCGCUACACUGAGUGUCUGAGAUACGAGUCUGCCUGGUCCGGCAAGGUCUAGGUAAUCGCUAAAAGACACAUCAUGCUUGGGAUAGAUUAUUGCAAAUAUUAAUCUUGAACGAGGAAUUCCUAGUAAGCGCAAGUCAACAGCUUGCAUUGAUUACGUCCCUGCCCUUUGUACACACCGCCCGUCGCACCUACCGAUUGAAUGGUCCGGUGAAGCCUCGGGAUUGUGGCCAGUUCACUUUAUUGGGAGUUGGCUGUGAGAACUUGUCUAAACCUUAUCAUUUAGAGGAAGGUGAAGUCGUAACA